UUUUAGGCAACUUCUAGCAAGAGUACAAGAUAUUCAUAAACCAUUUGCACAGAUUAUAAGUUAAAAUCAAUUAAAGAAAGAGGCAAAGAAAGGAAGACAAUAUUAGGAGAAGCAAGUCAAGAAAAGCUGCAGCAUUUAGACUUGUGACAGGUGGGACAUCGCCUCAGCAUGGCUUAGAUGAGUGGUGCUGGGUCCACACCCAGGAUCCAAACUGGUGAAACCCUGGGCUGCCAAAGAGGAACGUGCGAACUUAACCACUCGGCCACAGGACCCGCCCCAGGAAUGUAAUCUACAUUUCACUGUAUGAUCUAUUCUUCCAUUUAAAAGAAGAGUUUGCCAGGAAAGCCGCUGUCUCAAGAAUAUCGAGGAGCGGAUGCUUUCCAGACCUCAACUCCUCACUCCCGGCGCUUGAACCCGCCUCAAACAGGAAGACGAGACAAGAGACAACGGCGAAGGAUGCCCACCUGCCAUCCUCCUAUCUCACCCUCCCCCGCGGCCUUGCUGCAAGCAGCCUCUCAACGCCAAACUCAGGCUGGUGGGAAAGCACCCACCUGCACAAGCUACAUGCGCCCCCUCCCCUACCCAAAACCCCAAAUAAAAAUCCCUACCCAUUCCUCAUCGGGGAGCUAGCAAUUUUUGAGGCAUGAGCCCUUGCUUUGCUCCCUGUGCCUGGCAUAGUAAAAACCUUU
RNAcentral lists this long non-coding RNA (689 nucleotides) under Equus caballus (horse). Its description in RNAcentral is "lncRNA (ENSECAG00000059796.1)". Lineage: Eukaryota; Metazoa; Chordata; Mammalia; Perissodactyla; Equidae. The record is from RNAcentral.